CUCCUUCCUCUGCCCUCUACUUUGGUGUGUCUGUCUUUGUUGGAGCUCCUCUUGGGCGCUAACUGCUUCUUGCGAUAGCUGAUAAAGAAGAAAAU
Neltuma alba is the source of this 95-nucleotide long non-coding RNA. RefSeq lists it as uncharacterized. The transcript has 4 exons. The record is from RefSeq and is a predicted model, not a curated record. Lineage: Eukaryota; Viridiplantae; Streptophyta; Magnoliopsida; Fabales; Fabaceae.